UUUCACUUUCAAUACCGACUGCUUUGGUCGGGCUCCCCCUGCCCGGUCUUUUAUACCACCUGUGAGUGAAUAAACUCUAGAAUUGGGCAGAAGGGUAGCGAGGCAGCACCUGAUCCCACACUCAGUUCCCCGGGGUCUGGCAGGGGUCUCUGGGGUGAAUCCCACUCCCGCUGGGUUUCCUUCUACUAUUUUAAACCAUAUUAAGAUGCAGGUGCAGUCAGAUGGAAGCUGGAGCUGGAGUCAUCUCAAAGAUGAAUUUACCUCCACGUCGGGGAAGCCUGCUGCAUGAGAUGAAGAAGCUGGAGCUCAGAGGAUUGAAGUGAUUUGCAAGAAAUGGUGGAGUUAACACCUGGAUCUGGGUCCUCUGUCGUAAAAAAUCUAUGCUUUAUCCAUUAUGUCUCACUGCCACUGGGAGUCUUUUCUAGUCCAAGGUGAAAGCAAACCAAUUGGGAUCUUCCGGGUCUGGAGAGGCCCACUUCUCAUGGCCUUAGUGAGCCCACCAGCUGGAGUUGGUGAUGGGUGUUCGUGCAGUGUCCUUGUCUGCUGGCCUCUCCUGGGGGUCUCCAUCAAGAUUCUUUGCCAGAAGCUCGGAAUAGACUUACAGACAGUGAAGGGGAAGUCAACACAUAUGCAUACUUGAUGUGGAACAAGAUACGAUGGUGUGGAGCCAAGAUGAGAUGAGUAGAAACAAACAUUCACAUAAAAAUGCACAAGAUUUGCUGCAAGUGGCGUUUUAGUUUGUAUAGUUGUACCAGAAAUAACACUUGGUUGCAUGUCAAAAUACCAAUCAUCCAGCUUCAGUUUUUAUUUUUAAUUGAAGACAAAGACUUAGAAACCAACUGAAGUGCUAAAUCUGUUUCAAUUAACCUCAAAAGGCCCAAGUUAAUAGAUAUUUCUGGCUGAAUAAGUUGACUUUCUCUAUGCUUUAUGUGUGUGUGUGUGUGUGUGUGUUUUGCAAACUUUUGAGGAGAGCUUUUUUUUUCUCAAGCUGCUAGACAUAUAUUAAUUAAAUAUAUAAAAUAUAAAAUAAUUACUCUAUUUUUGGGGCCUUGAUUUUUGAUUCCUCAGUGUGAGGUAUUUCAUUGAAGCUGACCCUUCAAGAACAUUAUAAGUGGGAUUUCUAAAAGUGAUGGAUUCUCUCAGUCGUGAAGGAGUAAAUACGUAGUUAAGAUAGAUGGUAAAUCAUUUCAGGCCUCUUAGCACACACAAAGAAAUAAUUUGCUAAAGAGAGAACUGAAGCAUUGUAAAUAGCCGGGGAUCAGCCUCAAAGACCCCCUGGAAGUUCACGCGUGCAGAUGACUAGGAGGUUAGCCACCUGGAACUUAUUAAACCUGUUCUCAUUGGUUGGCUCCAGCUAUUUACUUCGGAGCACAGCUUAACUUGAUGGUUACUCAGGCUGGGACCUGCUUGCUUUUGUGACUUGAUCUAGGGCUGGUGAACAUGUUAACACAUGUUGACAGGGUUACAAAUAUUAAAUUCUUCGGUGGAACUUAAAAAGCAAAUCUAGGGAAACAGUGGGUGGGGCCCUUGCAGAUGGUAGUCACCUUGCUGGUUCCCUUUGCUCACCUCUGGUACUGAUAUGCCCUCUGAAAUGUCACUGAGCAUGAGACGGACUGCUUGAACAUAGAGCCUAAUCCCUUUGUGGCUGAACUUUCGGAGACAGUUGUACGUAGUCUGUCACACUGGGUAGGGGGUUAGAGGUCAUUUACUUGGGUGUAAGUGACCACCCAGGGUCAAUUUGGGGCUUUUGACAUUUGGGGCCAGAAAAACUUUUUCUGUGAAAUGUUCCUGUGCAGGAGAAACAGCACCCUGCCCUGGCCCCUAACAUCAUUAAUGCAUCUGCUGCAGUUACUGUGACAUUUCCAAAUACGGUGGGGAGAGGAGUAGAGGGUCAUAGGACUUUCAGCUGACAAUGCUGUGUAGAGAGAGGACA
Canis lupus familiaris (dog) is the source of this 1933-nucleotide long non-coding RNA. RefSeq lists it as uncharacterized. The transcript has 3 exons. NCBI's taxonomy places the organism in Eukaryota, Metazoa, Chordata, Mammalia, Carnivora, Canidae. The record is from RefSeq and is a predicted model, not a curated record.